AUUGAACGCUGGCGGCAUGCCUUACACAUGCAAGACGAACGGCAGCACGGGAGCAAUCCUGGUGGCGAGUGGCGAACGGGUGAGUAAAGUAUCGGAACGUGCCCAGUCGUGGGGGCUAACGUAGCGAAAGUUACGCUAAUACCGCAUACGAACUAUGGCUGAAAGCGGGGGAUCGCAAGACCUCGCGCGAUUGGAGCGGCCGAUAUCAGAUUAGGUAGUUGGUGGGGUAAAGGCUCACCAAGCCGACGACCUGUAGCUGGUCUGAGAGGACGACCAGCCACACUGGGACGGUGACACGGCGCAGACUCCGACGGGAGGCAGCAGUGGGGAAUUUGGGACAAUGGGCGAAAGCCUGAUCCAGCCAUGCCGCGUGCAGGAUGAAGGCCUUCGGGUUGAAAACUGCUUUUGUACGGAACGAAAAGGUUUGGGCUAAUAAGCUGAGCUCAUGACGGUACCGGAAGAAUAAGCACCGGCUAACUACGUGCCAGCCGCCGCCGUAA
This 500-nucleotide ribosomal RNA is filed under the name uncultured bacterium. RNAcentral's name for it is "partial 16S ribosomal RNA". It matches the Rfam family "Bacterial small subunit ribosomal RNA", at positions 29 to 523 of the family's 1533-position model. The record is from RNAcentral.